This 496-nucleotide ribosomal RNA is filed under the name Arabidopsis arenosa. Lineage: Eukaryota; Viridiplantae; Streptophyta; Magnoliopsida; Brassicales; Brassicaceae. The record is from RNAcentral.
CGUGAUUUGGGCUAUAUUACGGACCCAAAAUUACUUGUUCAAGCAUUGUUUUCGAAUUUUUUCAUGCAUCAAAGCUCGUUAAGACUAGAUGGGGUAUCCCUACAUAGCGGGUGGGACCCACGGCGAAUGGUUCAUCAAGUCUUCAAAAAAGAAUAUAUACGAUUGCAUUGCAUAUACUAACGGAUGCGAUCAUACCAGCACUAAUGCACCGGAUCCCAUCAGAACUCCGCAGUUAAGCGUGCUUGGGCGAGAGUAGUACUAGGAUGGGUGACCUCCCGGGAAGUCCUCGUGUUGCAUCCCUCUUUUAUGUUUAACCUUUUUUUUUUUGGUUAAAACUUUAUGACUCCAUAACUUUUAGACCGUGAGGCCAAACUUGGCAUGUGAUACCUUUUCGGAAAGCCCAAAGACAGCCCUCCGACGAAAGAAGCAGGACAAUGGAACUUUUCCAUUGACUUUUUGUCGACCCCAAAUUUUGACCUUUAAGUACUUUUUCGGG